CUCUUCCGGGUUGGCUGGAGAGGGGACAGGGGAGCUGUCUGGAGUGGGAAGGGACCCGAGUAUGAAGAGGGUCACCCUGUUCGUGAAAGGGAGUGCCCGGACCGGCAAGGUUAUUGCUGUGCACGGCUCGUCCAUCUCCGAUCUUCUGUCCCUCGCCAGUACCAAGCUAGGAAUCCAUGCAACAGAUGUAUACAAUGACAGAGGCGGGCACAUCGAUGACAUCGCCCUCAUACGAGACAAUGAUGUCCUGUACGUGAGCGAUGGCGAGUCUCUUGCAGGUGAGUCAU
Molecule: long non-coding RNA, 287 nt
Organism: Nanorana parkeri
Lineage: Eukaryota; Metazoa; Chordata; Amphibia; Anura; Dicroglossidae
Exons: 3
Source: RefSeq, a predicted model, not a curated record